GAUGAAGAACGCAGCGAAAUGCGAUAAGUAAUGUGAAUUGCAGAAUUCAGUGAAUCAUCGAAUCUUUGAACGCACAUUGCGCCCGCCAGCAUUCUGGCGGGCAUGCCUGUUCGAGCGUCAUUUCAACCCUCGAGCCCCCCCGGGGGCCUCGGUGUUGGGGGACGGCACACCAGCCGCCCCCGAAAUGCAGUGGCGACCCCGCCGCAGCCUCCCCUGCGUAGUAGCACACACCUCGCACCGGAGCGCGGAGGCGGUCACGCCGUAAAACGUCCAACUUUCUUAGAGUUGACCUCGGAUCAGGUAGGAAUACCCGCUGAACUUAAGCAUAUCAAUAAGCGGAGGA
This 343-nucleotide unclassified non-coding RNA is filed under the name soil metagenome. RNAcentral's name for it is "partial contains 5.8S ribosomal RNA, internal transcribed spacer 2, and large subunit ribosomal RNA". The stretch from base 1 to 120 matches the Rfam family "5.8S ribosomal RNA", at positions 35 to 154 of the family's 154-position model. The record is from RNAcentral.